CAACAGCAGAAUAAGUUACAUUUUGUAGUACCCAGAGCUUUUAAGGAUAUAGAUUGUUAGUUGGGUUCUGUUUUAUUUGAAUACGAUUUAAUGUUGGUAAGAUUAAGCAAAGUUAGAUCUGAGUAAUGCUAUGUUUUAUUGCCCUGUGGAGUCAUUUUUGUUAAGAGUCAUUUAUGUCAAGGUCGAUUUCUGUCAGGUUUGAGCGUUGCUGAGCUUGGACGAGGUCAAGUUUCAGUCUUCUUCACUUUAAGCCAUUUCAUGUUCUGUUCCAGUUUUAUAAGAUCUAUUUUUAUUCAGCAUUGGAGAGGUCAGCUUUAGGUUCUUUUAAGUGUACCUCUAAUACUACUGAUGUAACAGUGAAUUACACUGCAAUUAAUUUCAAUUCCUACGUUAAUUUUGUUUAGAUAUGUUUGUCUACAUUGCAAGAUGUAGUUGUUUUCUUCUAGAGAUAAGACAGGUCCAACUGAAGCAGCAGCGAUGAAGCACUGAUAAACACCUGCUGUUGGACAGAAGCAGACACAGUUUGCUGAGCCCUCGAUCCUCUCCCAGCUCCCACAGGUGUCAGAGCUGCACUGCCCAACAGGAUCAGUCACUGGGAUCUCUUCUGUUUUCUCUCCCACAGCUAACACAGGACAGUGGCUGCUUGUUCUGCAGGAUGCUGUUACCCACUGGAGCUGUUCAGAGUUUCACUGCUGUGGACACAUGAAUGCUGCAAGAAUAUUGUCCCAAAUUCCUGAGGCGGUUCCUGCUGAUCCAUUGCUCCCAUCACGGGGAUUCACUGAUUUUUAGAACAGGCAUUGUUCAUAAGGUGUCAUUGCCUUGUUUAUAACUGGCUUUUCACAAUC
Molecule: long non-coding RNA, 845 nt
Organism: Motacilla alba alba
Lineage: Eukaryota; Metazoa; Chordata; Aves; Passeriformes; Motacillidae
Exons: 2
Source: RefSeq, a predicted model, not a curated record